Molecule: long non-coding RNA, 1857 nt
Filed under: Anser cygnoides (Swan goose)
Lineage: Eukaryota; Metazoa; Chordata; Aves; Anseriformes; Anatidae
Description: lncRNA (ENSACDG00005005540.1)
Source: RNAcentral
UGGUUGAACCUCAAUCUUCCCAGUUUUACUGUGCACAACAGAACUUUUCUACUGAAGUUGGCAUGUACCAACUAAUAGUCAAAUGGAAUGUAAAUGAACAUGCCAGCAGCUUACUUUAUUUAAACAAACAGGAUUAAAAGAAUAAGAGAAGAAAGAUCUUCCUUCUAGUGGUACUUUUGAUAUAUCUUUGAUAUUAUGAAAUGCUUUGAUGCUGCCACAAUAGAUACUAUAAAAAAUAUCCAUGUCUAGUUGCAGUAUAUCCUGAUUUCAGUUAGGACAGAGUUAAUUUUCCUCCUAGUAGCUGGUAGGGUGCUAUGUUUUGGAUUAGGAUGAGAAGAGUGCUAAUAACGUGCUGAUGUUUUAAUUGUUGCAGGGCAGUGCUUACACCAAGCCAAGGACUUCUCAGCUUCUCGCUCUGUCCUGCCAGCGAGCAGGCUGGGGGUGCAGCAGGAGCUGGGAGGGGACAGACCCAGGACAGCUGACACAAACUGGCCAAAGGGGUAUUCCAUACCAUCUGACGUCAUGCUAAACAAUAUAUAGGGGUGGCUAGCUGGGGUGGAGGGGCCGGCUGCUUGGGGAUAGGCUGGGCAUCAUUCAGCUGGUGGUGAGCAAUUGCAUUGUGCAUCACUUGUUUCGUACACAUUAUUAUUAAUAGUACCAUUAUUAUUAUUAUUAUUGAUAUUAUUAUUAUUUAUUAUUAUUAUUAUUUUCCUGUCUUAAUAUACUGUCUUUAUCUCAACUCACAGGCUUCACUUUCCGGUUUCUCUCCCCCAUCCCAGAGAGGGAGGGGGGAGGGUGAGCGAACGGCUGUGUGGUGUUUAGCUGCCAGCCGGGUUAAACCACAACAUCUAAAUAUCCCCUCUUUUCAUUUGAAACCAGUCUCCCCUGUCCUAUCAUUAUUUGCCCAAGCAAAAAGUUGUUCUCCAUCUUUUUUUUUAUAAUCCUUCUUUAAGUACAGAAAAGCUGCACUAAGGUCUCCCCAGAAUCUUCUCUUCUCCAGGCUGAACAGCCCCAGCUCUCUCAGCCUGUCUUCACAGGAGAAGUGCUCCAGCCUUCUGAUCAUCCUCGUGGCCCUUGUCUGGACCCAGUCUAACAAAUCCACAUCCUCCUUGUAGGAAGAAGAGGCCCCAUCCUGCCUUCUCUCACCUGUCAGCCCAAACUGCUUUUCAUUAAUGUUUGGCAAUAUGCACAGGUUGUAUCCUCCAUUCAGCCUGUAAUAACUUUAGAGGUCAAGCUUGGAAGAAUGAAAAAGGUCUAUAGCAUUUUAAUCAUUUCCUUUACAAAUAGGCUUCUGUUGUUUUUCAUAUAUUUAUUCACAUCUCUCCAUCCCAUGAGUGUACUAAAACUCAGACAAAUAAUCCAAUUAUUUCUACUGCUAAAAUAUGACCAUCUGGUCAAAUUAUGCUAGUCUCAUUCUCUUACUGUGAACAAGUACACUUUCACACCAAUUAUUUUUAAAAGUUAACCUGGUUUUUAAUUCAGAAUUCUUCUUUUCCCUCUCCAGCUUGUUUAUGUAGCAAGUAAUGCUUUCUAAUCUGUUCUAUUUAUUAUUAUUAUUAUUAUUAUUAUUAUUAUUAUUAAAUUAAUUUUUCUUGUGUGUGCAGAGAAUUCAACUCUGACCACAGGGGAAUUUGUGAGAACUGGACCUCUUAUCCUUGUGAAGUUUGUCUCUUGCUACACUAAAGAUAACUUAUUUCAGCAGGCCAGGCAUUUUUAUACAAAAGAUGAGAGAUGUCACCAUGUAGGCGUAACGAUAAGUACCGUCACGAUUUUCUUUUUUUAUUUUAUUUUUUUUCCCUUUGUAAAAGAAAGUCAGAAAUGGAGCAAUUACCUUUUAACCGCUUUACUGAAAUGGAU